GACGAACGCUGGCGGCGUGCUUAACACAUGCAAGUCGAACGGAAAGGCCCUGCUUUUGUGGGGUGCUCGAGUGGCGAACGGGUGAGUAACACGUGAGUAACCUGCCCUUGACUUUGGGAUAACUUCAGGAAACUGGGGCUAAUACCGGAUAGGAGCUCCUGCUGCAUGGUGGGGGUUGGAAAGUUUCGGCGCUUGGGGAUGGACUCGCGGCUUAUCAGCUUGUUGGUGGGGUAGUGGCUUACCAAGGCUUUGACGGGUAGCCGGCCUGAGAGGGUGACCGGCCACAUUGGGACUGAGAUACGGCCCAGACUCCUAAGGGAGGCAGCAGUGGGGAAUAUUGCACAAUGGGCGGAAGCCUGAUGCAGCAACGCCGCGUGCGGGAUGACGGCCUUCGGGUUGUAAACCGCUUUCGCCUGUGACGAAGCGUGAGUGACGGUAAUGGGUAAAGAAGCACCGGCUAACUACGUG
RNAcentral lists this ribosomal RNA (468 nucleotides) under uncultured bacterium. RNAcentral describes it as "partial 16S ribosomal RNA". It matches the Rfam family "Bacterial small subunit ribosomal RNA", at positions 28 to 507 of the family's 1533-position model. The record is from RNAcentral.